This 343-nucleotide ribosomal RNA is filed under the name uncultured bacterium. RNAcentral describes it as "partial 16S ribosomal RNA". It matches the Rfam family "Bacterial small subunit ribosomal RNA", at positions 338 to 698 of the family's 1533-position model. The record is from RNAcentral.
CCUACGGGGAGCAGCAGGAGGGAAUAUUGCUCAAUGGGGGAAACCCUGAAGCAGCAACGCCGCGUGGAGGAUGAAGGUGUUCGGAUUGUAAACUCCUGUUGUUAGAGAAGAGAAUGACGGUAUCUAACGAAUAAGCACCGGCGAACUCCGGGCCAGCAGCCGCGGUAAUACGGAGGGUGCAAGCGUGACUCGGAAUCACUGGGCGUAAAGAGCGCGUAGGCGGGAUCGCAAGUCAGAUGUGAAAUCCUAUGGCUGAACCAUAGAACUGCAUUUGAAACUGUUAUUCUAGAGUAUGGGCGAGGUCGGUGGACUUCUUGGUGUCGUGGUCACAUCCGUCGAUUUC